RNAcentral lists this long non-coding RNA (345 nucleotides) under Brassica rapa (field mustard). RNAcentral describes it as "long non-coding RNA (BRAP_LNC006778)". Lineage: Eukaryota; Viridiplantae; Streptophyta; Magnoliopsida; Brassicales; Brassicaceae. The record is from RNAcentral.
AAAUCAUUGUUUACUGACCCUGCAAUCACCACCCGACCUUUUCCCAUGCUUUGGCCUCACUCGCACGCUAUCGCGAAUCACUUCCCGAUAGGUCACCCAUCCUUCCACUACUCCAGCUCAAGCACGCUUAACUCUGGAGUUCUUUCAGGAUGUGUUCCGGAAAAGGUAAGUCAACUUUGGUGACAUAGGUAGCCAAAUCAAUUCUCUUAAGCCUUUUUCACAUAUCACAACUCGGGAUGUUACAAUUCACCCCCUCUCAAAGAACGCAACGUCCUCGUUGCGCCCCCGACAGGUCUCAAGACGCCUCUCAGGUCGGAACUGAGACGGCUAACCAGCUCUGAUACC